RNAcentral lists this long non-coding RNA (438 nucleotides) under Lathyrus oleraceus (garden pea). Its description in RNAcentral is "Pisum sativum (pea) long non-coding RNA (PSAT_LNC040731)". The record is from RNAcentral. Lineage: Eukaryota; Viridiplantae; Streptophyta; Magnoliopsida; Fabales; Fabaceae.
AAAAUGUUGUUAAAACAAUAAAAUUUGAUUGAAUUUUGCGAAUGAUAAAAAUGUUGUUGUUAAACCCAUGAAAUUUGAUUAAAUUGUGUGAAUGAUGAAAAUGUUGUUGUUAAACAUAUGAAAUUUGAUUGAAUUGUGGGAAUAAUGAAAAUUUUGUUGUUAAUUCCAUGAAAUUUGAUUGAAUUAAGUGAAUGAUAAAAAUGUUGUUGUUAAACCCAAGAAAUGUGAUUGAAUUGUGUGAAUAAUGAAAAUGUUGUUAUUAUUAAACCCAUGAAAUUUGAUUGAAUUGUCUGAAUGAUGAAAAUGUAGUUGAUAAACCCAUGAAAUUUGAUUGAAUUAUGGGAAUGAUGAAAAUGUUCUAUUAAACCCAUGAAAUUUGAUUGAGUUGUGUGAAUAAUGAAAAUGUUGUUGUUAAACCCAUGAAAUUUGAUUGAAUUG